This 83-nucleotide ribosomal RNA is filed under the name Chloroflexota bacterium. Its description in RNAcentral is "Chloroflexi bacterium partial 23S ribosomal RNA". Lineage: Bacteria; Bacillati; Chloroflexota. The record is from RNAcentral.
CAGGGAGACGACCUGGUAGAUAGACCACGCGUGGAGGCCUGGUAACAGGUGAAGCGAAGUGGCCCUAAUGAUCGAACGGCUUG